CGCGGCCUAUCAGCUUGUUGGUGGGGUAAUGGCCUACCAAGGCGACGACGGGUAGCCGGCCUGAGAGGGUGACCGGCCACACUGGGACUGAGACACGGCCCAGACUCCUACGGGAGGCAGCAGUGGGGAAUAUUGCACAAUGGGCGCAAGCCUGAUGCAGCGACGCCGCGUGAGGGAUGACGGCCUUCGGGUUGUAAACCUCUUUCAGUAGGGAAGAAGCCGUGAGGUGACGGUACCUGCAGAAGAAGCGCCGGCUAACUACGUGCCAGCAGCCGCGGUAAUACGUAGGGCGCAAGCGUUAUCCGGAAUUAUUGGGCGUAAAGAGCUCGUAGGCGGUUUGUCGCGUCUGCUGUGAAAGACCGGGGCUCAACUCCGGUUCUGCAGUGGGUACGGGCAGACUAGAGUGCAGUAGGGGAGACUGGAAUUCCUGGUGUAGCGGUGAAAUGCGCAGAUAUCAGGAGGAACACCGAUGGCGAAGGCAGGUCUCUGGGCUGUAACUGACGCUGAGGAGCGAAAGCAUGGGGAGCGAACAGGAUUAGAUACCCUGGUAGUCCAUGCCGUAAACGUUGGGCACUAGGUGUGGGGGACAUUCCACGUUUUCCGCGCCGUAGCUAACGCAUUAAGUGCCCCGCCUGGGGAGUACGG
Molecule: ribosomal RNA, 645 nt
Filed under: uncultured bacterium
Lineage: Bacteria
Description: bacterial SSU rRNA
Rfam family: Bacterial small subunit ribosomal RNA
Source: RNAcentral